AGAGUUUGAUCCUGGCUCAGAACGAACGCUGGCGGCAGGCUUAACACAUGCAAGUCGAGCGCCUCGCAAGGGGAGCGGCAGACGGGUGAGUAACGCGUGGGAAUCUACCCAUCUCUACGGAACAACUCCGGGAAACUGGAGCUAAUACCGUAUACGUCCUUCGGGAGAAAGAUUUAUCGGAGAUGGAUGAGCCCGCGUUGGAUUAGCUAGUUGGUGGGGUAAUGGCCUACCAAGGCGACGAUCCAUAGCUGGUCUGAGAGGAUGAUCAGCCACACUGGGACUGAGACACGGCCCAGACUCCUACGGGAGGCAGCAGUGGGGAAUAUUGGACAAUGGGCGAAAGCCUGAUCCAGCCAUGCCGCGUGAGUGAUGAAGGCCCUAGGGUUGUAAAGCUCUUUCAACGGUGAAGAUAAUGACGGUAACCGUAGAAGAAGCCCCGGCUAACUUCGUGCCAGCCGCCGCGGUAAUUC
This 470-nucleotide ribosomal RNA is filed under the name uncultured bacterium. RNAcentral describes it as "bacterial SSU rRNA". It matches the Rfam family "Bacterial small subunit ribosomal RNA", at positions 8 to 526 of the family's 1533-position model. The record is from RNAcentral.